CAACGCUGGGAAAAGGGGUUUGUGGCAAAAAAGGGCUGCCAAGAAAGUUUUUUGGGGUCCCUUUUGACGCUAAGAAAGCGGCUGGCCUCUGCUGGGAGCCUGCAGCUCGUAGGAGGGCUGCUGAGACGGCGCGGGCGGUGCCAGUAACCACCGGUGGUAGAUCUAAACGAGGCGUUAACGGGCCGACGGUUACUUGCAGAGGAGACCAGCUCCAGUGGCAGGUCACCACGAUUGCGGCAAAGUGCCCAGGUCACUAGACCCAGAGUUGUAACAGCAAACCUUGUAACUGAUCCUGGCAGAAAGCAAGGAGAAGCCCGAAAGUUCAGAGAAACAGACACAGUGCCUUGGCAACACCCUCAAGCUGAAAGCUGACCUGGAAACUGUAAGGUUCUUCAAAGCACAGUUUCUCCCAGGUAUUGAUUCCAUAAAUGAGAAGCACAGCCUCAUGCUUUACAAAUGAAUUGUGUUAAUAGCUAGAACAUCACUUCCCCUGUGAAAUUAUGUGACCUUCCCCUGGAAAAUCUUGCAAAUUUGGACUGUGUGUGUGAGAAAAAGAAAGUGGUGCUAAUUUUCUUGAGAUUCUCCAUAAAAUUCUCUGCUCCUGAGUUCCUAUAGUUCCUCAAGUCCUGUUCCCUAAAGGAGUGUAAAUUUGUAUUCUCUGUACCUAUUUUUAUGUUCCUUCUGCAAUUUUUCUCUAGUCCUUUCUCUGCCUACUACAAUGAGCUUCUUAUAUACAUUGAUAAAAAAGCAACUACCUCUGCAUCUUCAGUUAGCUAGCUUGAGGCAACUUUUUAGAUAACAGGCUUACUGCUCUGCCUCAAAAUACUUAUUCCUAAGUGGGACUGGAGCAUCACUAAAUUUUUUAUGUAGUCUGAAAGACCCAGUGUAGUUGAGUAACUCCAAAGUGGUUUCUCUCAAAUACAAGAGCUUCAGGUACCCAUUGCUCAGCUGCGCUACGCUGUUGUUACUACAAUUCCAGACCAUAACAGCCUGAUCCAUUCCUUGGCUUCUCUGUCCUAGAGUAUAGUUGAAUCGCAUGAUAAUUUCUCAUUUCUUUUGAAAAGAUCUUUGUAUGAGCAGCAAGAGAAUGAUAAUUCUCUAAACCAUGGGUUUUGUAAGUUGUCUGAACCAGUAUUUUGUCAAGUUGCCAGAAGUUUCUUUCUGCUCAUUAAGCCAUGGAUUGUUAUACAGUGUUGAUGUGACUUGCAAAAUCUGUUUUCUAAGUAGAUUUGCUGAGAUUGCUUGUAAAUACACACUGAUAACAGAAUUUUCUAUUAAUAAUAAUAAUACUGAAGUGAUAAUAAUUAUGAGUGAACCUGAACUUGAUUGCUUCCACUUUUCUAUCCACUCCGAUUAAGAAUGGGAGUUAAUUUAAAAUGUAUGUAUUAUUCAGGGCAUGUCUCUUAAGCAUCUGAUGGUAUCAUUAAUAUACAUGUAGAGGGCAAUUUUGGAGACACAUGUUUGAUAUUGAAGGAUUUGGAAUGUGUAGCAAGUAAUGAUUCUUUCUUUUGUGAAAUUGUAAUUAAGUUAUUAAAAAUUCAUCCUUCAAAAUAUGAAAA
This is a long non-coding RNA of Pogoniulus pusillus (Red-fronted tinkerbird), 1559 nucleotides long. RefSeq lists it as uncharacterized. NCBI's taxonomy places the organism in Eukaryota, Metazoa, Chordata, Aves, Piciformes, Lybiidae. The transcript is spliced from 3 exons. The record is from RefSeq and is a predicted model, not a curated record.